This 253-nucleotide ribosomal RNA is filed under the name uncultured archaeon. Its description in RNAcentral is "partial 16S ribosomal RNA". It matches the Rfam family "Archaeal small subunit ribosomal RNA", at positions 474 to 726 of the family's 1478-position model. The record is from RNAcentral.
UACGUGCAGCACGAGUGGUGUCCACGAAUAUUGAGCCUAAAACGCAUGUAGCCGGUUCGGCAAAUCUUCCGUCAAAUCUCAGAGCUUAACUUUGAGGCGUGCGGGGGACACUACCAGACUUGGGAAUGGGGGAGUCAGAGAGUACGUUAGGGGGAGGGGUAAAAUCCUGUAAUCCUUAACGGACUAACGGUGGCGAAGGCGCUCUGACAAAACAUGUCCGACGGUGAGAUGCGAAGGCUAGGGGAGCAAAUGG